This 253-nucleotide ribosomal RNA is filed under the name uncultured prokaryote. Its description in RNAcentral is "partial 16S ribosomal RNA". It matches the Rfam family "Bacterial small subunit ribosomal RNA", at positions 524 to 776 of the family's 1533-position model. The record is from RNAcentral.
UACGGGGGGGGCAAGCGUUGUUCGGAAUUACUGGGCGUAAAGGGCGCGUAGGCGGCUCUUCAAGUCAGCCGUGAAAUCUCCAGGCUUAACCUGGAAGGGUCGGUUGAUACUGUCGAGCUAGAGUGUGGAAGAGGCAACUGGAAUUCCGUGUGUAGCGGUGAAAUGCGUAGAUAUACGGAGGAACACCUGCGGCGAAGGCGGGUUGCUGGGCCAACACUGACGCUGAGGCGCGAAAGCCAGGGUAGCAAACGGG